GAGGGAUGUGACUUGAACAGUGAACUAUUCUAUUACUAGUACCACUUGGAGGUAUGUGACUUGAACAGUGAACUAUUCUAUUACUAGUACCACUUGGAGGGAUGUGACUUGAACAGUGAACUAUUCUAUUACUAGUACCACUUGGAGGGAUGUGACUUGAACAGUGAACUAUUCUAUUACUAGUACCACUUGGAGGUGUGACUUGAACAGUGAACUAUUCUAUUACUAGUACCACUUGGAGGUGUGACUUGAACAGUGAACUAUUCUAUUACUAGUACCACUUGGAGGUGUGACUUGAACAGUGAACUAUUCUAUUACUAGUACCUCUUGGAGGGAUGUGACUUGAACAGUGAACUAUUCUAUUACUAGUACCACUUGGAGAUGUGACUUGAACAGUGAACUAUUCUAUUACUAGUACCUCUUGGAGGGAUGUGACUUGAACAGUGAACUAUUCUAUU
Biomphalaria glabrata is the source of this 458-nucleotide long non-coding RNA. RefSeq lists it as uncharacterized. The transcript has 3 exons. NCBI's taxonomy places the organism in Eukaryota, Metazoa, Mollusca, Gastropoda, Planorbidae. The record is from RefSeq and is a predicted model, not a curated record.